CCUACGGGAGGCAGCAGUGAGGAAUAUUGGUCAAUGGGCGAAAGCCUGAACCAGCCAUGCCGCGUGCAGGAAGACGGCUCUAUGAGUUGUAAACUGCUUUUGUACGAGGGUAAACACAGAUACGUGUAUCUGCUUGAAAGUAUCGUACGAAUAAGGAUCGGAUAACUCCGUGCCAGCAGCCGCGGUAAUACGGAGGAUCCAAGCGUUAUCCGGAUUUAUUGGGUUUAAAGGGUGCGUAGGCGGGCUUUUAAGUCAGCGGUAAAAAUUCGGGGCUCAACCCCGUCCGGCCGUUGAAACUGGGGGCCUUGAGUGGGCGAGAAGAAGGCGGAAUGCGUGGUGUAGCGGUGAAAUGCAUAGAUAUCACGCAGAACCCCGAUUGCGAAGGCAGCCUUCCGGCGCCCUACUGACGCUGAGGCACGAAAGUGCGGGGAUCGAACAGGAUUAGAUACCCUAGUAGUC
RNAcentral lists this ribosomal RNA (459 nucleotides) under uncultured bacterium. Its description in RNAcentral is "partial 16S ribosomal RNA". It matches the Rfam family "Bacterial small subunit ribosomal RNA", at positions 338 to 795 of the family's 1533-position model. The record is from RNAcentral.